Molecule: long non-coding RNA, 945 nt
Filed under: Heterocephalus glaber (naked mole-rat)
Lineage: Eukaryota; Metazoa; Chordata; Mammalia; Rodentia; Bathyergidae
Description: lncRNA (ENSHGLG00100030232.2)
Source: RNAcentral
UUCGAGGAUGAGCUGGCUGCCCAGAGCUGAGUAGAGAGCUCAUGUCCCCCACCCCACACCACCAGGCACCCAUUGAGUUCCCCGGCCCGUUCCCUCUCUGGACAUUAUGUUGCCCCAUUCUGUCUGAGAACCUCCUUCCCGUGGUGUGUGGCACCCGAAGGCCCUCCUCCAUGGCUGUCACACAGGUUGAAUCCAGUCUCAGAGGGAACCAGUUUGGUUGGAAGUUCAUUUCUCACAGUUCUGGAGGCUGGGCAUCUGCUUGGCAACAGUGUCCUGCUGGUGAUUCUGCCAUUGGAGCCCAGGGAGAAGCCCUGAGGAAGAGAGCAGAUGCCAGUCUGCAGGAGCAAGCAGGGUAGAGAAGGAAGCAUCUGGUCAGCCAUGGGGAAACAUCCAGCUUUCCAGGUGGCUCCUCCAGGAAGAGAUACAAGAACAAGAGAGCAAGAGAGGAUCGUGGCAAGUGGCAAGGAGCCUCUGGACCAUGAUCAAGGGCCAACCCCACUGAAGUGCAAGGUGAAGGAAAGGAGAUGUGGAGGGGAUCUGGAGUGCAGAGCAGCUCUGAGGAAUAAGGUCUCUGCCACAGAGGGUCCAUGGAGGGUCCAUGCUGGAGGAUGUGGCCAGUGUGCCCAGUCAUUGUCUGUGUGCCAUUCAGGCAUCAGGGCUCACAGUGCACAUCGAGUUUGGAGCAAGGUGAAUUAGAAGUCUGGGAGACAAAGGACCAUCUCCGCAUGACUGAUGACUACUCAGGCUAGUGAUGAAUGGGUCUCUAAACCAAACACAUCAAUACCUGUGGGCGUGAGAAGGACAGGGCCUGCCGCCUGCGACACCGUUAAACCCUCUCCCAAGGACUUCGUGUUGAAACAGGCUCCAUAGUUACAGUGUGAUCCCAGGACAAAGAAAUAAAGGUCAGUGAUUGAAGGCAAUUCUUUACCUUCAAAUUAAGACGUG